This 450-nucleotide ribosomal RNA is filed under the name uncultured bacterium. RNAcentral's name for it is "bacterial SSU rRNA". It matches the Rfam family "Bacterial small subunit ribosomal RNA", at positions 350 to 793 of the family's 1533-position model. The record is from RNAcentral.
AGCAGUGGGGAAUAUUGCACAAUGGGCGCAAGCCUGAUGCAGCCAUGCCGCGUGUAUGAAGAAGGCCUUCGGGUUGUAAAGUACUUUCAGCAGUGAGGAAGGCGGAGUCGUUAAUAGCGGCCUCGUUUGACGUUAGCUGCAGAAGAAGCACCGGCUAACUCCGUGCCAGCAGCCGCGGUAAUACGGAGGGUGCGAGCGUUAAUCGGAAUUACUGGGCGUAAAGCGCAUGCAGGUGGUUUGUUAAGUCAGAUGUGAAAGCCCGGGGCUCAACCUCGGAAUUGCAUUUGAAACUGGCAGACUAGAGUACUGUAGAGGGGGUAGAAUUUCAGGUGUAGCGGUGAAAUGCGUAGAGAUCUGAAGGAAUACCGGUGGCGAAGGCGGCCCCCUGGACAGAUACUGACACUCAGAUGCGAAAGCGUGGGGAGCAAACAGGAUUAGAUACCCUGGUAG